AUUUUCGUUUGAAAUUGUAAUGGUGUUUGCACAUACCGCAGUGUAGAACCUCUGGUUCCCAUGAACGUCAUGUAUGACAAAACAACAAUGGUUGUGUUGGGGGUAUUAUCUCUGUACCAUGAAAUCCAACCAUCCAACGGCGUGUCCAGGAAUCUGUGAGCGCCGAAAAGGAAUCAUUAUUUCGACGUGGUCGCCCAACGAUUGAGAAAUCUUUGGAACACAGAUGACGGAAACGUAUUUGUAUAGUGACACGGACAGCCUGCUCAUCUCCUCCGUACGCUGUGAAAGGUUAAGUUUCCUAAUCGUGAUUGAGUCAUCCAUCAUAACAAAAAACACGUGCUAUGACAGCCUGGAAUCUGUGAUGUGUCGGGCGGUUUAUAGAUACCGAGAGAGCUUGGAUACAGGAGCAUGUAAAUCGGAGUUAAAUACAGCUAGCAUCUCUAAUCGGUCACCUAUAUAAAUAAUACUCUCCCCUGAUUUGUCAUUAACUAUAUUAUUUUUAAGGACUUCUGCGGUGAAUAAGAUAUCAAUUAUGACGUCAUUUUAUUACCCGGAAACUUUACAAGGUCAUCUUGGUUUGUCAUUGUUUAUAAGUCUGUAGCUGUUUGUAUUGUUUUGAUAUUAUUGUCCUAGUUGAUUUUACAUUUUAGUCAGUGAUUGGUUCGUUUGUUUUU
Long non-coding RNA from Pecten maximus, 674 nucleotides. RefSeq lists it as uncharacterized. The transcript is spliced from 2 exons. NCBI's taxonomy places the organism in Eukaryota, Metazoa, Mollusca, Bivalvia, Pectinida, Pectinidae. The record is from RefSeq and is a predicted model, not a curated record.